ACUUUUAAAGGAAAACAGUC
This 20-nucleotide transfer RNA is filed under the name Brookesia karchei. RNAcentral describes it as "partial tRNA-Leu". Lineage: Eukaryota; Metazoa; Chordata; Lepidosauria; Squamata; Chamaeleonidae. The record is from RNAcentral.